This 537-nucleotide ribosomal RNA is filed under the name Triticum aestivum (bread wheat). Its description in RNAcentral is "partial small subunit ribosomal RNA". Lineage: Eukaryota; Viridiplantae; Streptophyta; Magnoliopsida; Poales; Poaceae. The record is from RNAcentral.
AUGGUGCCAAAGAUUGGAACAAGUUUUGACACGCUCAGAGAAGCUUAUGACUUUUACAAUUUGUACUCCUGGGAGAAAGGAUUUGGAAUACGAUAUGGAAAGAGCAGGCUAAACGUUAGCAGGACUAAGUGUAUGCAAGAGAUAGUCCGUGGAUGUGUGGGGAAGCCAAUUGUUGAAAAUACUCGUUCCUGCCGGUGUGAAUGCCCAGCCCUCAUCAGACUACUGCGGACAAAGGACAAUGGAUGGUACAUAGCAGAGCAUCGAGAUGGGCACAACAAUGCACUUUCCCAAACGUAUGGACAGACAAUACACUGGCCUACAACAGUGAGCGCGGAAGCACGGAUCUGCGCGAUGGACACAUCAGCGGUGGUGAAUGAGGGACAGCUCGUGUCAGGCCUCGGAGCUCUGAACUGGAAAGAUGAAUCCACAUGCUUCUAUCUGGAAUUAGAGGAUAAAGCUGGUGUUGAGAACACGAGGUCUUGUCGUUGCGAAUGCCCGGCUCUAAUAAGACUGCUACGGGCAGAGGACGAUGGGUAG